GCUUCUGUAGCGCAGUGGCUAGCGCUUUUGCCUUCGGGCAGACUACUCCAGGGUUCGAACCCGCCUGAGGUC
This is a non-coding RNA of Caenorhabditis brenneri, 72 nucleotides long. NCBI's taxonomy places the organism in Eukaryota, Metazoa, Nematoda, Chromadorea, Rhabditida, Rhabditidae. The record is from the annotation of a GenBank genome assembly.